Molecule: long non-coding RNA, 5371 nt
Filed under: Brassica napus (rape)
Lineage: Eukaryota; Viridiplantae; Streptophyta; Magnoliopsida; Brassicales; Brassicaceae
Description: long non-coding RNA (BNAP_LNC017391)
Source: RNAcentral
GGAUAGGUUUGAUACUAAUACCAAGGAAACAUUUCAUAUGCGAAUUAUAAGCAGUCGGGAGAAGGAUGGAAGGACGUAUGAUACACCAACUGCAUCUGAAGUUGCUGCAUUAAUUCCUGGAGAUUUCAAUAUGGAAAUGGAUAAAAGGGACAUUGUUUUGCAAGAGAAGCAAGCAGGAUAUCUUAAGAGGAUAAGUGAGAUUCAUCCUUCCUAUUUAGCACUUCAGUAUCCUCUUAUCUUUACAUAUGGUGAAGAUGGAUUCAGACUUGGUAUAAAAAGGAGAACAACAGAAGCUACAUCUAAGCUGAAGAGAUCUAAUAUCAGUAUGAGACAAUGGUAUGCAUUUCGGAUUCAGGAAAGAGAAAAAGAGUGUCAUACUCUUCUGCACUCUAAAAGGUUGUUCCAACAAUUUUUGGUCGAUGGGUAUACAUCUAUAGAAGCAAAUAGGUUGUUAUAUAUGAGGAUGAACCAGAAAAGCCUUAGAUCCGAUACCUUUGAUUCUAUUCAGCAGUCUGAACACUCAGGAAAGACAGAUAUGCAUGAUCAAGGAAGUCGAACCUACUUACCAGCCUCAUUCACCGGAGGGCCAAGAUACAUGAAGAACAUGUAUCUAGAUGCAAUGGCGAUAUGCAAACACUUGGGUUUUCCUGAUCUGUUUAUAACCUUUACAUGCAACCCAAAGUGGCCUGAAUAACCAGGUAUCUACAACCACGCAAACUAACGGCUGAGGAUAGACCUGAUAUUAUCAACAGGAUUUUCAAGUGUAAAUUGGAUUCUCUAAUGAGUGAUUUAACAGACAAAGAGUUACUGGGAAAGACAGUCGCAUGUAAGUUAUUAUAUCUUUUUUCUUAUGGUUUAUAUGAUAAGGGUCAAAUUUUAAUGUUACUAAUUUUGGGUCUUUUGAUUUGAUGCAGCAAUGUAUACAAUUGAAUUCCAGAAACGUGGUCUACCGCAUGCUCACAUUCUGUUAUUCAUGCAUCCUCAAUCCAAAUUUCCUACAACUGCUGACAUUGACAACAUCAUCUCAGCAGAAAUUUCAGAUAAAAACAAAGAACCAGAGUUGUUUGAAGUUAUAAAGGAUAUGAUGAUUCAUGGUCCUUGUGGUGCAGUUAACAUGAACUCGCCAUGCAUGGAAAAUGGUAAAUGUUCAAAGCUUUAUCCUAAGGAUCAUGUUGAGAAAACCUGGGUCAACAAAGAGGGUUUUCCUGUUUAUAGAAGACGAGACCAACCUGAUUGCUUUGUAGAGAAAAAUGGCUUCAAAUGCGAUAACAGAUAUGUCAUACCAUACAACAAAGAAUUGUCUCUUCGCUAUCGAGCCCACAUUAAUGUGGAAUGGUGUAAUCAAACGGGUUCUAUUAAAUACUUAUUCAAGUAUAUUAAUAAAGGUCAAGACAAAAUUACUGUCACUGUUGAGCCGCCAGAAAAAGGAGCACCAAAGGAAAAUGUCUCUAAAGAUGGAGCUGUAAAAGAGCCCGAGAAAAACGAGAUCAAAGACUUUUUUACUGGAAGGUAAUUUUCGUGCUCCAUAACUUAAUACAGAUAUGUUUUUUUGAUUUCUGAUUCCAAAUUUUGGUUACAUAUUUUUCAGAUAUGUCUCGGCCUGUGAAGGUUCUUGGAGGAUUUUCAAGUUUCCUAUACACUAUCGAUCAGUACCGGUUGAGAGAUUGCAGUUUCAUCUUCCUGGAAAGCAAAUAAUUAUUUUCAAGGACGAUGACACUUAUGAAAAAGUGAUAAGUGAAAAGCUUCUUGAAAACACAAUGUUCUUGGCAUGGUUUGAAUUAAACAAGGUCAAUGCUCUUGCUAGAACACUCACUUUCGCUGAAAUCCCAAUGUUCUUCACUUGGAAUAAAAAGGAGAGAAAAUUUCAGGAAAGAAAAAAAGGUUUCUGUAUUGGUAGGAUCAACUAUGCUCCAAGGAAGAUUGAAGAAGCGUUUUACUUGCGUGUCUUGCUCAACGUUGUUAGAGGUCCAACAUGUUUUGAUGAUAUUAAAACGUUCAACAACGUUUUGUAUCCUUCUUACACGGAGACAUGUUUUGCAAGGGGAUUACUAGAAGAUGAUCAAGAGUAUAUUGAUGAUAUUGUGAGGACGAGUUUCACAGAAUCAGCAUCAUCUAUGCGUCAUGCUUUUGUGGUAAUGCUCAUGUCUGGUAGUUUGUCAAAGCCCGAGGUUGUUUGGGAACAUACAUGGGAGUUGCUAUCUGACGAUAUCGAAUAUAGACGGAGAAAGCUAUUAAAAAGACCAGGUUAUAUACUAUUUUAUUUUUUAUAUUCUAACUCAUACUAUCUAAAACUAUCUGAGACUAAAUCGUUUUCUGUUGUUUUUGUAGAUCUUUGUCUAAGUGAUGAUGAGAAAAAACGGUUGACUCUUCUUGAGAUUGAAAAGAUUUUAAAGAGUAAUGGAACUUCUUUAGAACAAUGGGAAACUAUGCCAAAGGCCGUUCCAGAUAAUGGUGCAAGUGACAAUGUCUUGAUUUUGGAUGAGCUGAGUUACGAUAGGGAUGAGUUGAAAGCUGAACAUGACAGGGAUAUUGGAAAACUGACAGAAGAGCAAACGAAGAUUUAUGAUGAGAUUGUUGAUGCUGUCGUUAAGGAUAAAGGAGGUGUGUUCUUCGUUUAUGGAUUUGGUGGUACCGGUAAAACAUUCCUCUGGAGAUUGUUGUCUGCAGCUAUCAGAUACAAAGGAGAAAUAUGUUUGAACACUGCAUCAAGUGGGAUAGCUUCUCUAUUGCUACAAGGAGGAAGGACAGCACAUUCUAGGUUUGGAAUACCGAUAAACCCAGAUGAGUAUUCUACUUGCACACUUAUUCCAGGAAGUGAUCAAGCUAAUUUGGUGAAAGCAGCUUCCUUUAUCAUUUGGGAUGAAGCACCAAUGAUGAGUAGACACUGUUUUGAAUCUCUGGAUAGGAGUAUGAAAGACAUUAUGGGGAGCAAUGACAACAUGCCUUUUGCUGGGAAAGUUGUUGUCUUUGGAGGCGAUUUUAGACAAAUACUGCCUGUCAUACCUGCUGCUGGAAGGGCAGAAAUUGUACUGGAUUCUCUAAAUUCAUCAUAUUUAUGGAAGCAUGUUAAAGUCAGGCAGCUAACAAAAAAUAUGAGGCUACUUUCUGAUAAUUUGACUGCUGAAGAUGCCAAGGAUCUAAAGGAGUUUUCACAGUGGAUAUUAGAUGUGGGAGAUGGAAAUAUUGGCGAAGAGAAUGAUGGAGAAGUAGCAAUCAAUAUCCCAGAUGAGUUUCUUAUUACUGAUGGAGAUGAUCCAAUAGAAUCCAUCACCAAAGCAGUCUAUGGGGAUGUUGUUUCUUUGCAACAGAAUAAAGAACCUAAGUUUUUUCAAGAAAGAGCAAUUCUCUGUCCUACGAAUGAGGAUGUCAACAUGAUUAAUCAGCACAUGCUGGAUAAACUUGAAGGUAUUACGAUUUUAAAUGUUUCUAACUAGAUUACUAAACUCGCAGAUUUGUUCAUUUAUGGAGUUGUUGUUUACAUGCAGGUGAGGAAAGAAUUUUUUUUAGCUCUGACUCCAUAGAUGCUUCUGAUAGAUUCUCAAUAAAUGACCAAGCUCUCACUCCUGACUUUUUAAACAAAAUCAAGACUUCUGGUCUGCCAAAUCAUAGUCUUAGAUUGAAAGUCAGCUGUCCUAUGAUGUUGCUUAGAAACAUUGAUCAUACGGCUGGAUUAAUGAAUGGCACUAGACUCCAGAUUACAGAGAUGUAUGAUUUCAUGGUAAAGGCGAAAGUGAUUACUGGACGAGAGGUUGGUCGUACUGUGGUUAUUCCUAGACUUUCUAUCACACCAUCGGAUAAGAAGUUGCCUUUCAAAAUGAGGAGGAGACAACUGCCUCUUGCAGUUGCAUUUGCUAUUACUAUCAAUAAGAGUCAGGGUCAAUCACUUUCGCAAGUCGGUUUGUAUCUAUCAAGAGAUUUUUUCUCUCAUGGACAGCUAUACGUGGCCAUCUCGAGGGUUACAUCCAAAAAAGGUUUGAAAAUUUUGAUUGUUGACAAUGAAGGCAAGCCUCAGAAGAAAACGAAGAAUGUUGUUUUCAAAGAGAUUUUCCAGAAUCUCUAACUUAAAAGAUUAUUUUGGUGUUUAAGAUUAUUUUGCUGUUUUUUUCUACUUUAAAAACUUCCAUAUAUUUUCAGACAUUAAAGUUAUUUUGCAAACAUUGCAACGUUCUAAUCUCUAUCUUAUUAUUUACAUACAAUAUCACACAAAACAGAACCACUCACGAUCCUCUUUUACUGUAUUCUAAAUUGAUUACUAACUUCGGUCUAAAGUAUACAUACUAUUAAGCAUAGAAUUUGAGCUACUUGGUAACACUCAUCAAACAACACAUUGUUUCUUCACCCAGAACAUCAGACAUAAUUUUACUAAUAUCUGUCAAAAAUAUUAACAACUAUAAGCACAGAAAACACUCAUCAAACAACACAUAGUUUCUUCGUAUCCGAAAUAAAAUUCAGUACCAUUCAUGUAGUGAGAGCGGGGAUCUAAAUUAGUUGAAGAGACUUACAUGUUAUGGCCAUGCUUUUUGUCGUCUGCCAAAUCUAUUUGAUUGUUUCCCUUUAUUCCAGUUACUUCUUCUUUUUAAACCCGUGCUUCCUGAAGGCAAAAUCAGAUUUCCAUAAGAACACAACAAUACCACGAUCAAACUAUUGAAGUCUAAUUAUUGAGCAUUUAUAAACAACUUAUCUUGCCCUGUUUUUUAAUGGUGGACCAGAAAUCCUUCUUUACAUAUAUGGUUGAACAGGAGAUCUUCUUUCUUCUCUCUGGAAAACUAAACGUUACAUAGUGAACCUAUUAUCUUCGACCACUGAUUCAUCUUCUCCUUAGUACGGUCUGAUCCAGCUGUCAAGAACUUUCAUCAAUCAGUUACGUUUUCAACUAAUGAAGAUAACUUUAUAUAGAGACAGGAAGUAACAUCUGAAAACAAGAUUUUUUCAAAAACAAUUACAACAGCAGGUUGAUCAGUUACCAGAAUAAAAAUAUUUAUUUUUAAAAAAAAAAGGUAUAUACCUCUUUGUCAAGACCAAAGCAACGAUUUGAGAUUUGUCGGCAGAUAUGUGCAUUCAGACUUGAGAUCUGACAGCAGAUCAAUAGAAAAUGAAAAUUUCACCAGCAAAAAACCCAAAGUAUUUUAUCAUCUCAACUUUUAACAUAACCAAAAAGUAAUUGAUUAACUAACCUUGAAUGUAAAAUCGACAGAUGAAGAAGAUAUAUAGAACAACCGUUUGAUAGACAUGAAACCUAUAUGUUCUGCGUGUCUUGAUUUGCUAUUGAAGUUUGUAAACUUCUUUCGGUCAGUAUUGAAGAACAGAGAAGAUGAUGAGAUUUUUUGAUCACCGACAAAGAACCUUCGACUAGGUAAAAAAGUGGUUGGCU